GGGCCGCACGCGCGCUACACUGACGGAGCCAGCGAGUAUUAACCUUGGCCGAGAGGUCCGGGAAAUCUUGUGAAACUCCGUCGUGCUGGGGAUAGAGCAUUGUAAUUAUUGCUCUUCAACGAGGAAUUCCUAGUAAGCGCAAGUCAUCAGCUUGCGUUGAUUACGUCCC
Molecule: ribosomal RNA, 169 nt
Filed under: Yamadazyma mexicana
Lineage: Eukaryota; Fungi; Ascomycota; Pichiomycetes; Serinales; Debaryomycetaceae
Description: partial 18S rRNA
Rfam family: Eukaryotic small subunit ribosomal RNA
Source: RNAcentral